Molecule: unclassified non-coding RNA, 609 nt
Filed under: Patiria miniata (bat star)
Lineage: Eukaryota; Metazoa; Echinodermata; Asteroidea; Valvatida; Asterinidae
Description: centromere/kinetochore protein zw10 homolog, transcript variant X2
Source: RNAcentral
AUUGUCAACAGAUCUAAUGUUACAGUUGUUAUGCUUGCAUUAGACUGUUUAAUUAGUUGUUAAAAUGAUUACGUAGACAGUUAUGACUCUAAGGCGAAGCUUAAUCCGAAAUUUCAGAAACGUCACUGUCAAAAAAUUUGUUUAGAGGGCGCUGUACCGGCGGCAGAUCCAAGAAUCAAGAUGACGUCCCUUGUCACCGAUGUUCUGCUCGCAAACACGGAUCUGUUGGAAAAGGAAGACCUUGGGACGCGCAUCGGCAAAUUAUCAACUCACAUUGAUGAGAUCAAGGGUGAAAUCUACCACGCCGUACACGAGAAGUAUGCUAACUACAGACCCACCAGGGACUCCACCCAGGAGCUACACAACAAGGUGCAGACACUGUCCACUGAGAUGCAGACUCUCAGCAAUAAGAUCAAGGUUAAACAACAUGGUGACUCCACUGUGGAACCAGCCGUAUGAGGACCAGCUAUCCACCAAAUAGACCAACACCAGGGAGUUUCUGAGGAAUUUAUCCAAGAUGCUGUAACGGAACAUUGGGGAGAUGUCUCCCUGUCUGAAGCAACAAAGGAAGAACCACAGUGGGAUGGAAUGUGAGUUGGAGCCAAUUAA